CAGCUCCAAUAGCGUAUAUUAAAGUUGUUGCAGUUAAAAAGCUCGUAGUUGGAUCUAGGGACGCGCAUUUCAAGCGCCCGUGUCGUCGGGUCAAACCGGCGACUGCGUUGGCGUUGCGGGCUCGGUCCGUCGGUGCCCCACAAAGGGCUACUGGCGUGUCAACCGGCCCGCCCGUCCCCUCCUUCUGGAUUCCCGUUCCUGCUAUUGAGUUAGUGGGGACGUCACAGGGGGCUCAUCGUCGUGCGGCGUCAAAACCGUGGCGGCGGUGGGUCCCUGGGGCCCAGAUCGUUUACCGUGAAAAAAUUAGAGUGUUCAAAGCAGGCAGAUCCAAUUUUCUGCCACCGAAUACAUUAGCAUGGGAUAAUGGAAUAGGACCCUGUCCUCCUAUUUUCAGUUGGUUUUGGCAGCGCGAGGACUAGGGUAAUGAUUAAUAGGGAUAGUUGGGGGCAUUAAUAUUUAAUUGUCAGAGGUGAAAUUCUUGGAUUUAUGAAAGAUUAACUUCUGCGAAAGCAUCUGCCAAGGAUGUUUUCAUUAAUCAAGAACGAAAGUUAGGGGAUCGAAGACGAUCAGAUACCGUCGUAGUCUUAACCAUAAACGAUGCCGACCAGCGAUUAGGAGACGUUGAAUACAAAACACCACCAUCGGCGCGGUCGUCCUUGGCGUCGGUCCUUCACGGGGCCGGCGCGAGGGCGGCUUAGCCCGGUGGCACCGGUGAA
This 716-nucleotide ribosomal RNA is filed under the name Acanthamoeba sp. AcL-NO5. RNAcentral's name for it is "SSU rRNA". It matches the Rfam family "Eukaryotic small subunit ribosomal RNA", at positions 586 to 1096 of the family's 1831-position model. The record is from RNAcentral. Lineage: Eukaryota; Discosea; Longamoebia; Acanthamoebidae.